RNAcentral lists this ribosomal RNA (448 nucleotides) under uncultured bacterium. RNAcentral's name for it is "bacterial SSU rRNA". It matches the Rfam family "Bacterial small subunit ribosomal RNA", at positions 329 to 792 of the family's 1533-position model. The record is from RNAcentral.
GGCCAGACUCCUACGGGAGGCAGCAGUGGGGAAUAUUGGGCAAUGGACGCAAGUCUGACCCAGCAACGCCGCGUGAAGGAAGAAGGCUUUCGGGUUGUAAACUUCUUUUAAGGGGGAAGAGCAGAAGACGGUACCCCUUGAAUAAGCCACGGCUAACUACGUGCCAGCAGCCGCGGUAAUACGUAGGUGGCAAGCGUUGUCCGGAUUUACUGGGUGUAAAGGGCGUGCAGCCGGAGAGACAAGUCAGAUGUGAAAUCCACGGGCUCAACCCGUGAACUGCAUUUGAAACUGUUUCCCUUGAGUGCAGGAGAGGUAAGUGGAAUUCCUAGUGUAGCGGUGAAAUGCGUAGAUAUUAGGAGGAACACCAGUGGCGAAGGCGGCUUACUGAACUGUAAAUGACGCUGAGGCUCGAAAGCGUGGGGAGCAAACAGGAUUAGAUACCCGGGUA